GGCUCAGGAUGAACGCUAGCGGCAGGCUUAACACAUGCAAGUCGAGGGGUAACAGGGAAAAGCUUGCUUUUUUGCUGACGACCGGCGCACGGGUGAGUAACGCGUAUACAAUUUACCUUAUACUGGAGAAUAGCCUUUAGAAAUGAAGAUUAAUACUCCAUAGUAUUAUGAUAUGGCAUCAUAUUAUAAUUAAAGAUUUAUUGGUAUAAGAUGAGUAUGCGUCCUAUUAGUUAGUUGGUAAGGUAAUGGCUUACCAAGACAUCGAUAGGUAGGGGUCCUGAGAGGGAGACCCCCCACACUGGUACUGAGACACGGACCAGACUCCUACGGGAGGCAGCAGUGAGGAAUAUUGGACAAUGGAGGCAACUCUGAUCCAGCCAUGCCGCGUGCAGGAAGACGGCCCUAUGGGUUGUAAACUGCUUUUAUAUAGGAAGAAACCCCUUUACGUGUAGAGGGCUGACGGUACUGUAUGAAUAAGCACCGGCUAACUCCGUGCCAGCAGCCGCGGUAAUACGGAGGGUGCAAGCGUUAUCCGGAAUCAUUGGGUUUAAAGGGUCCGUAGGCGGAUAAUUAAGUCAGAGGUGAAAUCCCACAGCUCAACUGUGGAACUGCCUUAGAUACUGGUUAUCUUGAGUUUUAGUGAAGUAGAUAGAAUGUGUAGUGUAGCGGUGAAAUGCAUAGAUAUUACACAGAAUACCGAUUGCGAAGGCAGUCUACUAACUAACAACUGACGCUAAUGGACGAAAGCGUGGGGAGCGAACAGGAUUAGAUACCCUGGUAGUCCACGCCGUAAACGAUGGAUACUAGUUGUUCGGAUUUAUCUGAGUGACUAAGCGAAAGUGAUAAG
This 847-nucleotide ribosomal RNA is filed under the name uncultured bacterium. RNAcentral's name for it is "bacterial SSU rRNA". It matches the Rfam family "Bacterial small subunit ribosomal RNA", at positions 21 to 864 of the family's 1533-position model. The record is from RNAcentral.